UAGAUUAGCAGUGAUCCAGUAUUUUUCUUGCACGAGUGCUAUAGUCAAUUUGCUGAUAGAAUUUAGGUAGCCUUGUUCUCAAAUUUGCCUUGUUAAAAUCUCCAGCUACAAUAAAUGCAGCCUCAGGAUAUAUGGUUUGCAUAAAGUCCAGUGAAAUUCCUUGAGGGCCGUCCUGGUAUCGGCUUGGGGGGGGAUAUACACGGCUGUGACAAUAGGAGGAUUCUCUUGGGAGAUAAUACGGUCGGCAUUUGAUUGAAGAAUUCUAGGUCAGGUGAACAAAAGGACUUGAGUUCCUGUAUGUUAUUACAAUUACACCAUGAGUCGUUAAUCAUGAAACACACACCCUGCCAUUUCUUCUUCCAGAAGAUAUGUUUAUUCCUGUCGGCGCGACACACAAAGAAUCCAGAUGGCUAUAUCCCGAGAGAGCCAUGUUUCCGUGAAACAGAGUAUGUUACAAUCCCUGAUGUCUCUGGAAAGCAACCCUUGGCCUAUUUUUGUCUCCCUUGUUAUCUAGACUGGACAUUAGCAAGUAAUAUACUCGGCAGCGGUGGGUAUUGUGCAAGCCAACAAAGUCUGACCAGAAGACCACUCCGUCCGCCUCUUCUUCGGCGACGUUUUGGGUCAGCCUCUGGAAUCAGUUCAAAUGCCCUAGGUGGUUCAGACAAAGGAUCCGCUUGAGGCCUACGAGAUGGGGGGUGAAUGACCAGCUGAUCAUACUUCAGGCACAUGGCUCACCUGAGAAUCUCCUCCUUGUCUUUGAACCUGAGCAGUUUCACCACUAUAGAUCUGGGCUGUCCAUCGGGGAUGAAAGUGCCAUUCAUAUGCAUCCUCCAUCUCGAUGCGUUUAGGAUCCAGUUUAAGUUCAUCUGCCAGGAGUUUCUUGGCCUUGACAGUCAGUAGGUCUAGGCAAAUUUGAUUGGCACAGGAAGAAAGGAAAAGGGUCUGCUACUCAUGCGAUGUGCUUCAAUGUAAGCUUAAAAUCUAUUUAAAUGAUCUUUCUGGUGGUUCUUAAAUGUUAUAUUGUGCCUAAAGUUAUAAGUUGGGAGCUGUGUGUUUGUGUGUGUUAACUGAGUAAAAGUUUAAUGCAGUGUUUUCCCUUACUGCCACAAUGACUUGCAGAUCAUUAUACAUGUAUAUUCCUUCCUCCUAUUCCUCCAGCAAAAUCACAGGUAGGCUUUUGCAAAUCAGAAAUUCUAUGCAGUACUCUAUUAUACACUGAACAGUGUGAAAUUAAAUUCAGUUUGUUGUAUUGAGUAGAACGUGAAUUUCAGUGACAGGUUUUUGCGAAGCACAUGCACAGAACAUUUAGAAAAUGUGACGGGGCGAACAGAACUCUAGGCUACUCAGAAUUUUUAACCCUGUGGUAUUGUGACAUCACUAGGUUACACCUGUUGUUUACGAAGCACAUGACAAAUAUAAUUUUAUUUAUUGGCCAAAGAAGUUCUUACCUAAUCUGGUUUCCUGAAGUGUUUGAUCUGGCAGGGCUCUGCAAGAGACCAUAUUCUCUACCACUGCAAUACAAGACACCUGUUAAGUCACUGCCCACUUUCACUAGGGCCAAGACUAGUCAUUGUGCAUUGUCAUUAUGAAAAUUGUUUCCUCUUUUCCUCCAUCCCUAAUUAACCUUAAGAAAUACUUACUGUGCAGUGCUCUUUGCAACGGCAGCAAUGUAAAUACAAUGUAAAUGCCGUUCGAAAUACAACUGUGAGGUCUGUGCAGUAGCAGUAUCAUGGAGUUUGCUGUUUCCAGUUGUCCUAUAAAAGAAUCACCAAUGCACAUGUAUUUGCAACCACAGCCAUUAUGCUGGAUCAGCUAAAUAGGUGGAGUUGAAGGGAUGAGAAACUCAAUAACCACGUUGGUAGGGGAAU
Long non-coding RNA from Oncorhynchus gorbuscha (pink salmon), 1868 nucleotides. RefSeq lists it as uncharacterized. Lineage: Eukaryota; Metazoa; Chordata; Actinopteri; Salmoniformes; Salmonidae. The record is from RefSeq and is a predicted model, not a curated record. The transcript has 3 exons.